GACGAACCGUGCGAACGUUGUUCGGAUUCACUGGGCUUAAAGGGCGCGUAGGCGGGUUAUCAAGUCAGGGGUGAAAUCUUUCGGCUUAACCGGAAAACGGCCUCUGAUACUGGUAGUCUUGAGGGAGGUAGGGGCAGGUGGAACUUCCGGUGGAGCGGUGAAAUGUGUUGAUAUCGGAAGGAACGCCGGUGGCGAAAGCGACCUGCUGGAUCUCUUCUGACGCUGAGGCGCGAAAGCUAGGGGAGCGAACGGG
This 253-nucleotide ribosomal RNA is filed under the name Gemmataceae bacterium. RNAcentral describes it as "partial 16S ribosomal RNA". It matches the Rfam family "Bacterial small subunit ribosomal RNA", at positions 524 to 776 of the family's 1533-position model. RNAcentral also lists the same sequence under 1 other name. The record is from RNAcentral. Lineage: Bacteria; Pseudomonadati; Planctomycetota; Planctomycetia; Gemmatales; Gemmataceae.